RNAcentral lists this long non-coding RNA (6332 nucleotides) under Sus scrofa (pig). Its description in RNAcentral is "lncRNA (ENSSSCG00065079036.1)". Lineage: Eukaryota; Metazoa; Chordata; Mammalia; Artiodactyla; Suidae. The record is from RNAcentral.
GGGGAGCCCGGCGCGCCUUUCCCAGGAAAACAAGAAGAGGCUGCUCCCGGGGCGCGGGAGAUGAGUCACUCCUCAGUUCAGCAAGGGACUGCCCUUCGGACCAGGUGAAGAAAAAGCUCAGCAUGACGGAGCUACUUGCUGGCUAGCAUCUAACUGCUGAGAGGCAAAGCUGGAACUCAAACCCAGGUCUGUUCCACCCAGAGACUGCUCGUAUUACCUCUACUCUGCUCUCCUUCCCUGGUGGUGGCUUCUGAAUUGCUCCUCCUGGUUACAGCCCCAAGACCCUGAACUACAGUUCUGGAGCCCUCAGCAGACACUGAUGCUAUAACUCUAUUAAGAGCAUAAAUUACUCUUCCCCAUAGGCCACCACAGUGCCUGUGAAGCACCAGCCAGGCUCCAGUAACAUUUGCUGGCACACCCAGCCAGGCUGCCAUGGGAGAACUUUAUGCCCUGCCUACUGCUAGCAAAUUCUCCCCACCAAACUGAUUGUUUAGGGCACUGUGGGCUUAUCGUGGGAGUGUCUUUAUUUUCAUUGCUUCUCUUCUUCCCUGCAGGCUAGGGGUCUAAUCUGAGCUGUAGCCACCAGCCUAUGCCACAGCCACAGCAACAUCAGAUCCGAGCCACGUCUGCGACCUAUAGCACAGCUCAUGACAACGCCGGAUCCUUAACCCACUGAGCAAGGCCAGGGAUCAAACCUGCGUCCUCAUGGAUGCUAGUCAGAUUCCUUUCCACUGAGCCACAGCAGGAACUCCUUUUUAUGGCACCUGCAGCACACAGUUCCUCGGCCAGGGGUUGAAUCCCAGCCGCACCUGCGACCUCAGCUGCAGUCACAGCAACACCGGAUCUGAGCUGCCUCUGUGACCUAUGCUGCAGCUUGCAGCAUUGCUGGAUCCUUAACCCACUGAGGGAGGCCAAGAAUCGAAACCGCAUCCUCACAGAGACAGGGCCAGGUCCUUAACCUGUUGAGCCACAAGGGGAACUCCUUAAAUAGGAAUUAAUAUUUAUAUAGCAUCCUCUGUGUCUAAGGUGCUGUGUAACUUUGAAAAGGUUUUUAUCAUUUUUGGACCUCCAUUUCAUCAUCAGCUAAAGUGGGGAGAAUAGGAAAUGGGAUUGCAAAUAGCAAAGCCUCAGAGCACAUGUUAACUCCAUGCUCAUUUUCUUUUCUUUUCGUCUUUUUAGGGCCACACCUGUGGCAUAUGGAGGUUCUCAGGCUAGGGGUUGAAUCGGAGCUAUAGUCACCGGCCUACACCUGAGCCACACAACUUGGAAUCCAAGCCACCCUGUCUGGGACCUACACCACAGCUCACAGGAAUGCCAGAUCCUUAACCCACUGAGGGAGGCCAGGGAUCGAACCUGUGUCCUCAUGGAUGCUUAUCUGGUUUGUUAACUGCUGAGCCACGGCAGGAACUCCUCAUUUUCAUAUGUAUAUAUGUGCUCAUUUUCAUAUGUAUAUAUUUGCAUUUAAUUCUCAUGAUUCAGUAGGUUAUUAUGCCCAUUUGACAGUUAGGAAAACUGAGAUGCCCAAGCUAAGUUACUGGCCAAAGACUACACAGCCUAAUAGAAUUAGAGCCUGGAUCUCUGGCUGUGGGCCCUUAGUCUUCCAUGGAUGGUGUGCUGCAGGUUACAUGAGGCCUCGUCUACAGCAAGCACUGAAACAUGACUAUUUUCUGGCCUAAAAUUCAUGCCCAUGCCUAAUUGGCAAUUUUCUGCUCUUUUCUGUGCUCCUUGCUGAGGUAGAUACUUGUUUCCAAGGCUGGAGUAACAAAGUCAUCAUAAGAACUGAGUGGCUCAGAACAACGGAAAUGUGCUAUCUCCCAGCUCUGGAGGCCAGGAGUCUGAGAUCAAGGUGUCACAGGGCGCUGCUCCCUCUAACCUGUACUGGGGGAUCUUUCCUUACCUCUUGAAACUUCUGGAACCCCUAGAAGUUCGAUGGCUUGUGGCUGCAUCACUCCAAUCUUCCCAUGGUGUUCUCCCUGUGUCUCUGUGCAUCCUUUUCCCUCUGUGCAUGGCUGUCUAUGUGUCCAAUUUUCCCCUGCCCUCCUUUUUUUUGGCCACACCUGGGGCAAGCAAAAGUUCCCCGCCCAGGGAUUGAACUGUGCCAUAGUAGUGACUACACCGAUUCUUAACCCACUGAGCCACNGCCCCCCCCCCCCCCUUUUAAGAACCAGUUUUUUUAUUUGACCAUUUCUUGCAUUCGAAGUCCUCCUCAAUGACAUCCUUGGCCUGAGAGUCUUCGCCAUAGUCCUUCACCACCACACUACUGCAACCAACCACUUUACAGGGUUUUCCCUGUCUGUCAGUUUUACAGAGGCCUACCCAUUCCCCUAGUUGCUUGUUGUCAUCGCCAUAAUUAGGUUGAUCUGGUGCUCAGCACAAAGGGCAUGAGCUCAUCACAGUUGAUGGAAGCACACAAAGACGGGCUUGGCGUUUGUCUAAGGUUUUGGCAGCUUGGUGAAUUCCACGGGCUAGGCCAUCAUGGAUGAGGCCGGUCUUCAGCACCUCUUGUAGAGCAGUAUUAAUGUCCAUUACACCUCCAGCAGCAAUGCCUUCCUCAGCCAGGUCCGUGGGUUAGGGGCGGAGCCAAAUUUUGAGUGCACCUAAGCCUCUGUCUCCGCAGGACUCGGUGGUGGCAGGGAAAGAGAAGAUUCCCCUUUUUAUGAGGACAUCACUUAUGUUGGGUUAGAGCCCACCCCAAUGACCUCAUUUUAACUUGGUUACCUCUGUAAAGACCCUAUUUCCAAAUAAGGUCACAUUCUGAGGUGUUGGGCUUACGACCUCAGUAUCUUUUUUUGUUUUUGUUUUUUUGCCUUUUCUAGGGCUGCUUCCCUCAGCCUAUGGAGGUUCCCAGGCUAGGGGUCUAAUCAGACCUGUAGCCGCCGGCCUACGCCAGAGACACAGCAACACCAGAUCUGAGCCGCGUCUGCAACCUACACCACAGCCCACAGCAACCCCUGAUCCUUAACCCACCUGAGGGAGGCAGAGAUUGAACCUGAGACCUCAUGGUUCCUAGUCAGAUCCAUUAACCACUGCGCCACAAUGGGAGCUCCUCAGUAUCUUUUUUUUUAUGGGACACAUAUGGGAAAACACUCCUGUGUUUCUCCUUUACUUUCACACUCACAAUACUUCUGACACCACAUGCCUGGUUUUCCACACCAAGCAAUUCUCUGGGACACCAGCUGCAUGUCCUAUAAUUCAAUUCAAUUCUGACACUAACUAGAGUUAGUACAGACCCCACAGAUUACUGCUUAGUUCCACAAGACUGCCCCCGGCUCCCGCCCCGGGUUUCAGGUGCCAAUGGGAAGUCCAGGUUGUAAUCUAAACUUCUGACUGACAGGUUAUAAAUCGGGGACCCUGUGACCUCCUCCCUGGGUUAGAGAAUUUGCUAGACUGGCUCACAGAACUCAAGCAAACACUUAGGUUAACCAGAUUUUUAGUUAACAAAGGACACAGAUGAACAGGCAGAUGAAGAGAUACCUAGGAUGAGGUCUGCAGUGGGUUUAUGCAGGGAGCAGGAGUUUCUGUUCCUGUGGCAUUGGGGUGCACCACUUUCCAAGCACAUGGACGUGUCCACCAAACUGGUAGUUCUGUGAACCCCAUGCUUUUGGGCUUUUUAUGGAGGCUCCCUCAUGUAGGCAUAAUCUAUCAUAAACUCAGUCUCUAGCCUCUCUCCCCUCCCAGGAGGAUGGGGGCUGGGUCUCCAACCUUUUGAUGAUGGCUUAGUCUUCCUGGUAACCAGCCCCUAUCCAGGAGCCCCACAAGCUUGGCCUCAUUAGAGCAGAAGAUGUUCCUAUCACCCAGGAAGUUCCAGCGGGUUUAAGAGUUCUGUGUCAGGAGCCAUAGUCAAAGACCAAAUAUUCAUAUUCAAACAAAAAAGGGCUCCUAGUGCUUUUAUCACUUAGGAAAUGACAAGAAUUUUAGGAGCUCUGUGCCAGGAAUGAGGGGGCAGAGACCAAAAAAAAAAAAGAUUUUCUAUUAUUUCACAGGAUGAAAUUCAACCCAAAACGUUCCCUUUCUAGGAGUGGGCCCCAGGAGCUGUAUUUAUGUCAGGGUUCCUUGGGAGGUUCAUGGAAAUCACAUUUCUUUCAGGAAGGAUGCAUUCUGUAAACUUUACAUGAUUCCAAACUUUGUCUUCCAAGACCCAUUUUUCCCCAUAGGAAUGAAUGUGAAAUAGACGAUGAAAUGUGCUCCAUACAGCUCAUAAAUCUACAACCAUCUUGUCAUAUUUUUGCCUUUGAUGCUGCUUCGUAUGUUUGUAGCCUUAUCUCUACCUGCCAGGGCGGUGGUUCAGUCUUCGUGGUGUUUAUCAUGUCCAAGAUCUACUCCAAAGUAUUGAUUGGGGGUGUGGUUUUCAGCAGUAGGUGUUUCAACUUUGUGGAUGAUGUUGAAUAAUGUUGUUACAGCUUUUUUAAGUGGUCUAUAAUGGCAAUGAAUGGCUGGCAAGAUAACAGCUCAGUAGUCACACGAAGCAGUUGCUAGAGUCCAAAGCACACUAACAGCUGUGUGAUUUGUUCAAUAAUGACAGAAAGGGUGGCUGGUUAGCUCCGUGGUGCUAAUGUCACAGAACGUAGUCUGUUCUCGGCUGUAGAGACGCCGCCUUGUGGCAGCAGCGUAAACACAAUUUAUAAUUCAUUCCAUCCCAACAGCUUUGAAAUUGUUCAAUAUGCUUUCCUUUUCUGGUGUUUGUAUGAUUUCCAGUUUAGACACGGAGUGGCGCUUUGAGAGUGUUUUUAUGUGGCACUGUGUCAAGGACACAUAAUUCAUAUCUGCAGAUGAUGCAUACUACAGAAAGGCUGGGAUUUGGCAGUGGGGCUCAUACCCUAGCUGAGACAUAAAAGCUUUCUUGUCCCUGCCACUGCUGUGUGGGGUCUCCUAGGAGCUGGAGAAUGCAAUUCUCAGAAAGCAGUUGGGCCCGAGUGUGAAAGCCCAUCAAUAAGGAGCAGGUGACAUUGCCACAGCUGGGUAAUUUGUCUCUUUGCUCUUCUGCAGCCCAUUCAGUGAUGAUCUAUUUGUCCCAGGGAAUAGAUGAUGGCAGGUUUGUCCAUAUUUUACACUUAUGAACCUGCCUGCUUCUUUUUGCUCAGCUGUGCCCAUCUGUCUUUGUCCCUGGCUCCUCUCAUUUCAUUUCACAGAUUGGGCAGUAGGUCUUGGCAACGAGUUACGAAGGUCGAUUCCAUGAGGGCAGCUUUGGGAAAGGAGGGAGGGAGGAGAAGAGAUGGGUCAGCUCCCUACAGAGAGAGGAGGAUGAAAGAGAUGUCACAGACUCAGUGGUGGGCAGGAAGGGACCUCAGAGAAGGAGGGGAGCCAUAGAUCCUAGGACAGAAGAUGGCAAUUCUGGGGAGGCUUGCUAAUAGAUGGCUUGAAGGGCUGAGUCCAAUGCCAGUCACAAAGUUGAGCCUAGUGCAAAACCUAAUUGUGGUAGCCAGCAUGCAGGAAUCUUACAUAUUGGUAUUCACACCUCUGUCAUGCCCCCUUCCCACUGCAGGGAUGAUAUGUGUAACCAAUGGAAUAUGCAAAAAUGACAGUGUGACUUCUAAGGCCAAGUCAUAAAAGUCCUUGAAGGUUCCACCUGACUCUCUUUUGGAUCACUCACCUGCCAUGUGGUGAAGACACCUAAGCAGCACCUGGAGAAGCUCACUGGCAGGGAACUGACACCUCUGCCCAACAACCAGCACUGACUUGCAGGUGUGUGAGUAACCUACCUUGGAAGCAGAUCCCACAGCCUCCAUCAGGCCUUCAGGUGACCAGAGUCCAAGCCAACAUCUUUUUUUUUUCCCCCGUUCUUUUUAUGGCCACACCUGCAGCAUAUGGCCACACCUGCAGUUCCUGGACUGGGGGUCAAAUUGGAGCUGCAGCUGCCAGCCUACGCCACAUCUUGUGGCAACGCCGGAUUGAUCCUUAACCCACUAAGUGAGGCCAGGGGUUGAACCCACAUCCUCACAGACACUGUGUUGGGUUCUUAACCCGCUGAGCCACAACCCCCCAAGCCAACAUCUUGACUGCAACAUUGUGGGAUACCCUGAGCCAGAACCAUCCCCACUAACCACUCCUGAAUCCCUGACCUAUUUGGAACCAUGUGAGAUGAUAAAUGUUUAUUGUUUCAAGCUGCUAAAUUUGGGGGGAAUUUAUUUCACAGUAAUUGGAAAUGGUCUAAUUAUGUAACUGCUUACUUGUGGAAUUGUCCAAUAUCCAUUUGGUUGCUGCCUGGAAUGCACCGUCCAUGGAGCUAGGACCCAUUUAUACCAAGUGCUCAGUUAACCAGCAUUGCAUGUCACUGAGGGCCACAAAGACAACCCACCUGCCCUACUACUUCAAGCAAGAUAAAUGUAGUUAAG